GAUGAACGCUGGCGGCGUGCCUAAUACAUGCAAGUCGAGCGAACGGACGAGAAGCUUGCUUCUCUGAUGUUAGCGGCGGACGGGUGAGUAACACGUGUAUAACCUACCUAUAAGACUUGGAUAACUUCGGGAAACCGGAUCUAAUACCGGAUGAUAUUUUGCACCGCAUUGUUCAAAAGUGAAAGACGGUCUUUCUGUCACUUAUAGAUUUAUCCGCGCUGCAUUAGCUAGUUGGUAAGGUAACUGCUUACCAAGGCAACGAUGCAUAGCCGACCUGAGAGGGUGAUCGGCAACACUGGAACUGAGACACGGUACAGACUCAUACGGGAGGAAGCAGUAGGGAAUCUUACGCAAUGGGCGAAAGCCUGACGGAGCAACGCCGCGUGAGUGAUGAAGGUGUUCGGAUCGUAAAACUCUGUUAUUAGGGAAGAACAUAUGUGUAAGUAACUGUGCAGAUAUUGACGGUACCUAAUCAGAAAGCAACGGCUAACUACGUG
RNAcentral lists this ribosomal RNA (497 nucleotides) under uncultured bacterium. Its description in RNAcentral is "partial 16S ribosomal RNA". It matches the Rfam family "Bacterial small subunit ribosomal RNA", at positions 28 to 507 of the family's 1533-position model. The record is from RNAcentral.